GACGAACGCUGGCGGCGUGCUUAACACAUGCAAGUGGAGCGACGAACCAGGGCUUGCCCUGGGGCAGAGCCGCGAACGGGUGAGUAACACGCGGGUAACGUGCCCCGAUGACUGGGACAACCCGGGGAAACCCGGGCUAAUACCGGAUGUGCCCCCUCACAUCAGUGAGGUGUGUAAAGGAAGCUUCGGCCUCCGCAUCGGGAUCGGCCCGCGGCCCAUUAGCUUGUUGGUGAGGUAACGGCUCACCAAGGCUGCGAUGGGUAGCUGGUCUGAGAGGACGAUCAGCCACACUGGGACUGAGACACGGCCCAGACUCCUACGGGAGGCAGCAGUGGGGAAUCUUGCGCAAUGCGCGAAAGCGUGACGCAGCAACGCCGCGUGGGGGAAGACGGCCUUCGGGUUGUAAACCCCUUUCAGUUGGGACGAAGGUCGGGCGGUUAACAGCCGUUCCGGCUGACGGUACCUUCACAAGAAGCCCCGGCUAACUACG
Molecule: ribosomal RNA, 490 nt
Filed under: uncultured bacterium
Lineage: Bacteria
Description: partial 16S ribosomal RNA
Rfam family: Bacterial small subunit ribosomal RNA
Source: RNAcentral